Molecule: unclassified non-coding RNA, 252 nt
Filed under: uncultured fungus
Lineage: Eukaryota; Fungi
Description: sequence contains ITS1
Source: RNAcentral
GUUCAAGUGGUUGAGUUUUGUAACUUUCGUGUAACUUUGGUUAGGUUACGAUAGAGGAGAAACAGUGCUUCUCCCCUACCUCACUAGUCGCGCGAAUCUUCCGAAGAAGACCACCACUAGUCCUGCGCUGCAGAGAGCACUAACUCCUUGCGGAGUUAGCGACUCCAGCUCGAGCCUGAGCUCGCGCUCGUUCUUCCUCGACUAUCGUCGGGUCAACUGGUAAUGAUCCUUCCGCAGGUUCACCUACGGAAA